UUUUAAUUGAGAGUUUGAUCCUGGCUCAGGACGAACGCUGGCGGCGUGCUUAACACAUGCAAGUCGAGCGAUGAAGUUCCUU
This 82-nucleotide ribosomal RNA is filed under the name Clostridium chromiireducens. Its description in RNAcentral is "partial 16S ribosomal RNA". It matches the Rfam family "Bacterial small subunit ribosomal RNA", at positions 1 to 80 of the family's 1533-position model. Lineage: Bacteria; Bacillati; Bacillota; Clostridia; Eubacteriales; Clostridiaceae. The record is from RNAcentral.